UUGGUUAAGUUAGAAAGGGCGCACGGUGGAUGCCUUGGCACUAGGAGCCGAAGAAGGACGGGACUAACACCGAUAUGCUUUGGGGAGCUGUACGUAAGCGUUGAUCCAGAGAUUUCCGAAUGGGGGAACCCACUAUCUUUAGUCGGAUAGUAUCCUUACGUGAAUACAUAGCGUGAGGAAGGCAGACCCAGGGAACUGAAACAUCUAAGUACCUGGAGGAAGAGAAAGAAAAAUCGAUUUCCUGAGUAGCGGCGAGCGAAACGGAAAGAGCCCAAACCAAGAAGCUUGCUUCUUGGGGUUGUAGGACACUCUAUACGGAGUUACAAAAGAAAGUUAUAAAUGAAGCGGUCUGGAAAGGCCCGCCAAAGACGGUAACAGCCCGGUAGUUGAAAUGGCUUUCCCUCCAGAGUGGAUCCUGAGUACGGCGGAACACGUGAAAUUCCGUCGGAAUCCGGGAGGACCAUCUCCCAAGGCUAAAUACUCCCUAGUGACCGAUAGUGAACCAGUACCGUGAGGGAAAGGUGAAAAGCACCCCGGAAGGGGAGUGAAACAGUUCCUGAAACCGUGUGCCUACAAGUAGUUAGAGCCCGUUAAUGGGUGAUAGCGUGCCUUUUGUAGAAUGAACCGGCGAGUUACGAUUUGUUGCAAGGUUAAGCGGAAAAAGCGGAGCCGUAGCGAAAGCGAGUCUGAAUAGGGCGCAUAAGUAACAGGUCGUAGACCCGAAACCAGGUGAUCUACCCAUGUCCAGGAUGAAGGUAAGGUAAUACUUACUGGAGGUCCGAACCCACGCACGUUGAAAAGUGCGGGGAUGAGGUGUGGGUAGCGGAGAAAUUCCAAUCGAACUUGGAGAUAGCUGGUUCUCUCCGAAAUAGCUUUAGGGCUAGCCUCGAGGUAAAGAGUCAUGGAGGUAGAGCACUGUUUGGACUAGGGGCCCUUCUCGGGUUACCGAAUUCAGAUAAACUCCGAAUGCCAUGUACUUAUACUCGGGAGUCAGACUGCGAGUGAUAAGAUCCGUAGUCGAAAGGGAAACAGCCCAGACCACCAGUUAAGGUCCCCAAAUAUAUGUUAAGUGGAAAAGGAUGUGGGGUUGCUUAGACAACCAGGAUGUUGGCUUAGAAGCAGCCACCAUUGAAAGAGUGCGUAAUAGCUCACUGGUCGAGUGACCCCGCGCCGAAAAUGUACCGGGGCUAAACAUAUUACCGAAACUGUGGAUGAACCUCUUUAGAGG
RNAcentral lists this ribosomal RNA (1228 nucleotides) under Listeria monocytogenes. Its description in RNAcentral is "partial 23S ribosomal RNA". It matches the Rfam family "Bacterial large subunit ribosomal RNA", at positions 1 to 1221 of the family's 2925-position model. Lineage: Bacteria; Bacillati; Bacillota; Bacilli; Caryophanales; Listeriaceae. The record is from RNAcentral.